GCCUAGGAUAGCUCAGUCGGUUGAGCGUGAGAUGCUCAAUCUCAGGUUCGUGGGUUCGAUUCCCACGUUGGGCA
Molecule: non-coding RNA, 74 nt
Organism: Podarcis lilfordi (Lilford's wall lizard)
Lineage: Eukaryota; Metazoa; Chordata; Lepidosauria; Squamata; Lacertidae
Source: the annotation of a GenBank genome assembly